RNAcentral lists this ribosomal RNA (372 nucleotides) under uncultured organism. RNAcentral's name for it is "bacterial SSU rRNA". It matches the Rfam family "Bacterial small subunit ribosomal RNA", at positions 526 to 896 of the family's 1533-position model. The record is from RNAcentral.
CAGAGGUGCCGAGCGUUAGGCGGAAUCACUGGGCUUAAAGCGUGUGUAGGCGGAUUUGUAAGUACCUUGUGAAAUCCCACGGCUUAACCGUGGAACUGCUUGGUAUACUGCUUAUCUUGAGCCACUUAGGGGCAACCGGAACAAACGGUGGAGCGGUGAAAUGCGUAGAUAUCGUUUGGAACGCCAAUGGAGAAAUCAGGUUGCUGGGAGUGUGCUGACGCUGAGACACGAAAGCCAGGGGAGCGAACGGGAUUAGAUACCCCGGUAGUCCUGGCUGUAAACGAUGUCGACUAGAUUGCAGCGGCUCUGACGCCGUUGCGGUCGAAGCAAAAGUGCUAAGUCGACCGCCUGGGAAGUACGGUCGCAAGGCUA